UACGUAGGUGGCGAGCGUUGUCCGGAUUUAUUGGGUUUAAAGGGUGCGUAGGCGGCUCUAUAAGUCAGUGGUGAAAUACUCCAGCUUAACUGGAGGGGUGCCAUUGAUACUGUAGGGCUUGAGUAAAGUUGAGGUUGGCGGAAUUGACGGUGUAGCGGUGAAAUGCUUAGAUAUCGUCAAGAACACCUAUUGCGAAGGCAGCUAACUAAGCUUUAACUGACGCUGAGGCACGAAAGUGUGGGGAUCAAACAGG
Molecule: ribosomal RNA, 253 nt
Filed under: uncultured bacterium
Lineage: Bacteria
Description: partial 16S ribosomal RNA
Rfam family: Bacterial small subunit ribosomal RNA
Source: RNAcentral